This 78-nucleotide transfer RNA is filed under the name Synergistota bacterium. Its description in RNAcentral is "Synergistetes bacterium (hot springs metagenome) tRNA-Ile". It matches the Rfam family "tRNA". From Rfam's summary of the family: Transfer RNA (tRNA) molecules are approximately 80 nucleotides in length. The record is from RNAcentral. Lineage: Bacteria; Thermotogati; Synergistota.
GGGCCUAUAGCUCAGUUAGGUGAGAGCGCACGCCUGAUAAGCGUGAGGUCGGAGGUUCGAAUCCUCCUAGGCCCACCA